UUUUCUGUAUGUUUCAGAAGAAAGAAAAAAAAAAGGAGACGCGCGCGCGGACGGAGACUGUUUCCAGGACAGCGCGAGCGCGUCUGUCAGUCAGAGCAGCGCGAGCGCACCCGUGGAAAAUGAAAGAAGGCAGAUAAAACUCGAAUCUUCCGGUCCCCACGACGUGCCACAAAAAGA
This is a long non-coding RNA of Thalassophryne amazonica, 177 nucleotides long. RefSeq lists it as uncharacterized. The record is from RefSeq and is a predicted model, not a curated record. The transcript is spliced from 3 exons. NCBI's taxonomy places the organism in Eukaryota, Metazoa, Chordata, Actinopteri, Batrachoidiformes, Batrachoididae.